This 432-nucleotide ribosomal RNA is filed under the name uncultured bacterium. RNAcentral describes it as "bacterial SSU rRNA". It matches the Rfam family "Bacterial small subunit ribosomal RNA", at positions 29 to 507 of the family's 1533-position model. The record is from RNAcentral.
AACGAACGCUGGCGGCAGGCCUAACACAUGCAAGUCGAGCGCUCUCUUCGGAGGGAGCGGCGGACGGGUUAGUAACGCGUGGGAAUGUACCCUUCUCUGCGGAAUAGCCACUGGAAACGGUGAGUAAUACCGCAUACGCCCUUCGGGGGAAAGAUUUAUCGGAGAAGGAUCGGCCCGCGUUAGAUUAGAUAGUUGGUGGGUAACGGCCUACCAAGUCUACGAUCUAUAGCUGGUUUUAGAGGAUGAUCAGCAACACUGGGACUGAGACACGGCCCAGACUCCUACGGGAGGCAGCAGUGGGGAAUCUUAGACAAUGGGCGCAAGCCUGAUCUAGCCAUGCCGCGUGUGUGAUGAAGGUCUUAGGAUCGUAAAGCACUUUCGCCAGGGAUGAUAAUGACAGUACCUGGUAAAGAAACCCCGGCUAACUCCGUG